AUGCUUUGCCCUGGCCUCACCUCAGCUCGGUGGGUGGGGGUGGGAGAACCUCUCGCCGCCGCCGCCGCCGCCUCCUUCUCCUCCUCCUCCUCCCCAGUAGCGGCGGUUACUGACGGGCUGGGUGUGCAGCACGACUCCCUCCUCGCACAGCGCCCGGCCCCCGCCUGCCUGCCUGCCUGCCUCCCGCCCUCCUCCUCCUCCCGUUGCCGGCCCGAGCCGCGCUCGCUCGGCUCUGGGGGGACCCGCGAGCGGCCGCCGGCCUCCCCGCGGCAGCCACUAGGGGAGGAGGCAGCGCGCCUGCGCCGCCACCGCCGCUGCUGCUGCCGAUCUCGCCGCUGUUACCGCCGCGCUCGGGGGCGGCGAGGCCGAGAGGAGGCCUUGCGCCGGGGCGGGCUGAGCGGCUCGCAGGGCCGGCGGCGGGCUGCUGGCCGCCUCGUAGUGCGCAGAUGCUAAGCCAAGAUGAUGCAUCUUUCCACUUGCACCUGCAAAAAUGCACAAGAGACUUAUGACUGAGACAUAGCCUGAAGAAAGUUAAUGUGGUUGUUAGUAGUCUCUGUCACAAAUGGCAAGACUAUGGAUGGCUCUGGUCUUUUUCCUCAGACCUUGAUGAAACCUAGAAAGGACAGAAAGUUGAUUUUGCUAAAGGAGCAGCAGCUGUAAGGAAAAAAAAAAAAGAGAGAAAAAUCAAGCAAAAAAAAGCUUGAGGAAGCCAAGGACAAGAACUACAACUGGUUAUGACUAAUCUGUUACAAGCUUUAAUUUUCUUGUACCUUAGUGGAUCUUUUAACCUAAUUUAUAGAGUCUAUUCCUUUUUAAUUUCUUUUAAAAGUUAAGACUUCUUUCAUAAAGUACAGGGAGUACAUGAAGCUUGUAUACUUAGUUUAUUUUGUAUACUUAGCUUAGAAAUCUGUUAGCAUGUAGAGCAACGAUGCAGCAACGACAUUCAGAUUUUUGAUUAAAAAUAGGUUAGUAAAUCACAAGCAAUAAACCUGAAGUAUCUCACA
This 1004-nucleotide long non-coding RNA is filed under the name Numida meleagris (helmeted guineafowl). Its description in RNAcentral is "lncRNA (ENSNMEG00000005099.1)". The record is from RNAcentral. Lineage: Eukaryota; Metazoa; Chordata; Aves; Galliformes; Numididae.